UUGGAGCUAGGAUCCAAAGUCCAGUCUCGAUAGGACUUACUUGCCUUCCAGAGGACAGGGGUAGCUGCAGGGGAUGGUCCCAGAGCUUUGCACAAACUGGGUCCUCGGUAGAAAUAGUAGGAGCUUGGGAUACAGAAUAACACAACCAGUUUCUUUAGGAGAGGGAGUUCCCUAGGGGCGGAGCUGUGUACCUGGUCAACCUGACUGUAUCCUGGACUCCGGUGAAUCUGGGUUGACUUUGGACAGGGUCAUUGGAAUGAUCUAACUACCUUACCUGCUAUUUGAACUGGCUGAGCUCUGGAAGGACAGAAAACAAAAGAAGGGUGUUGAAAUGCAAAUAGACAGCUCUAAAUUCCAGUCCUGGGCUGCCAAAAUAGAGCCAAAACUGACAAGGAGGGUCUCCACAGAGGUCUGUGGAAAGCUCUAGAAAAAUCUCACAAGAUGUAUUCCUUUUCGUGAAUUGGAGUCCUCCGGUAGUAAUCUCUACACCAACA
Molecule: long non-coding RNA, 494 nt
Organism: Herpailurus yagouaroundi (jaguarundi)
Lineage: Eukaryota; Metazoa; Chordata; Mammalia; Carnivora; Felidae
Exons: 3
Source: RefSeq, a predicted model, not a curated record